Molecule: ribosomal RNA, 253 nt
Filed under: uncultured bacterium
Lineage: Bacteria
Description: partial 16S ribosomal RNA
Rfam family: Bacterial small subunit ribosomal RNA
Source: RNAcentral
UACGUAGGGUGCAAGCGUUGUCCGGAAUUAUUGGGCGUAAAGAGCUCGUAGGCGGUUUGUUGCGUCGGCUGUGAAAUCCCGAGGCUCAACCUCGGGUCUGCAGUCGAUACGAGCAAACUAGAGUGUUGCAGGGGAGACUGGAAUUCCUGGUGUAGCGGUGAAAUGCGCAGAUAUCAGGAGGAACACCGGUGGCGAAGGCGGGUCUCUGGGCAACAACUGACGCUGAGGGACGAAAGCUAGGGGAGCGAAUGGG